This 520-nucleotide ribosomal RNA is filed under the name uncultured Glomus. Its description in RNAcentral is "SSU rRNA". It matches the Rfam family "Eukaryotic small subunit ribosomal RNA", at positions 569 to 1091 of the family's 1831-position model. Lineage: Eukaryota; Fungi; Glomeromycota; Glomeromycetes; Glomerales; Glomeraceae. The record is from RNAcentral.
AGCAGCCGCGGUAAUUCCAGCUCCAAUAGCGUAUAUUAAAGUUGUUGCAGUUAAAAAGCUCGUAGUUGAAUUUCGGGGUUAGUAGGCUGGUCGUGCCACAGGUAUGUACUGGUCUUACUGACUUCUCCUUUCUGAAGAACUGUAAUGCCAUUAAUUUGGUGUUGCAGGGAAUCAGGACUGUUACUUUGAAAAAAUUAGAGUGUUUAAAGCAGGCUAACGCUUGAAUACAUUAGCAUGGAAUAAUGAAAUAGGACGUUCGAUCCUAUUUUGUUGGUUUCUAGGAUUGACGUAAUGAUUAAUAGGGAUAGUUGGGGGCAUUAGUAUUCAAUUGUCAGAGGUGAAAUUCUUGGAUUUAUUGAAGACUAACUACUGCGAAAGCAUUUGCCAAGGAUGUUUUCAUUAAUCAAGAACGAAAGUUAGGGGAUCGAAGACGAUCAGAUACCGUCGUAGUCUUAACCAUAAACUAUGCCGACUAGGGAUCGGAUGAUGUUAAUUUUUAAUGACUCAUUCGGCGCCUUAC